Molecule: long non-coding RNA, 928 nt
Organism: Arachis stenosperma
Lineage: Eukaryota; Viridiplantae; Streptophyta; Magnoliopsida; Fabales; Fabaceae
Exons: 2
Source: RefSeq, a predicted model, not a curated record
UCCCCAAAAUGAAAGAUCCCUUGCUAGCCCUAAUUUUCUCUGUCUUUGUUGAAGUUGUGCACAAAGAUACUGUGAACCACCGAUGUGUCGGCCACCACGAUCGUGAACCCGUUACCCACCAAGCUAAAUACGCACUCCAUCUUCUUUCUUUCUUUGUUCUUCUUUUUAUUCUUUUCUUCCUCACUUCACGAAUCUCUUUAUCUUCUUUUCCCCUCUCACGGCAAAAUAGGGAACAGUAAGUUCUUGGCGUUUCUCCUCCGUUCGUUGGUUUCAUCGUCCAUUUGCGUCGUCGUCCGUGGCGGUGUGGGCGUAGGUUGGUUGAUGGUCUUCCGUGGCUUCUGAUAUGCUCUGUAGUGUUCGUCCGUCUGCUCUGCUCUGCUCCACGUUGUUCGUCCGUGGGUUUCGUGGCGUUCCCUCGUCGAGCCGCGCCUCGCUGCCUAAAAUCAAUAUGCCAAAACAGGGAUGUGGAGUGAAAAUUCUGGAGGUGUAUAUGGUGGUGACGGAGAACCCCCGAAGAGUUGAAUGGACCUCACAAAGAUAAUUCUGCUCCGACUUCCUUUGUUUCAAAAGCAGGCUACAGGCUACCAUACUUUGAUUGAAGCUUUUGGUAGACUAUCUUGUUGGGACAUCUGAUGAACUCAAGUCUACUCUUUAUUGUUGAUCCUAUGCUGGUUCAGAAAGUGGAAGUGAGAGGCUGCAACACAAGAACUGAUUUAUAGAUUAUCUGUAUAUUACACUGAAAUUAUGUUUUCUAUGGUUUUCAUUUUUAGAUUUUAAAUUUCAAUAACACAAAUUAUAUAACCUUGUGGUUUUUUAUGGUGUAUCAUCAUAUAAUAAAGACACAAACUAUAUUUCAUGAAUCCAUACAAAUGUAAAAUAUUAUAUGAUCAUAAUAAAUACUUGAAUAAUGAAAAUUGAAUUUUAUGUA